This 752-nucleotide ribosomal RNA is filed under the name uncultured bacterium. RNAcentral describes it as "bacterial SSU rRNA". It matches the Rfam family "Bacterial small subunit ribosomal RNA", at positions 94 to 863 of the family's 1533-position model. The record is from RNAcentral.
AGCGGCGGACGGGUGAGUAACGCGUAGGCAACCUGCCCUUAACACAGGGAUAGCCUCGGGAAACCGGGAUUAAAACCUGAUAAUGCCAUAUAGUCACAUGGCUGUUUGGCCAAAGAUUUAUCGGUUAAGGAUGGGCCUGCGUCUGAUUAGUUUGUUGGUGGGGUAACGGCCUACCAAGACUACGAUCAGUGGCCGACCUGAGAGGGUGAUCGGCCACAUUGGAACUGAGACACGGUCCAAACUCCUACGGGAGGCAGCAGUGGGGAAUAUUGCACAAUGGGCGAAAGCCUGAUGCAGCAACGCCGCGUGAGCGAUGAAGGCCUUUGGGUCGUAAAGCUCUGUCCUUGGGGAAGAAAAAAAUGACGGUACCCAAGGAGGAAGCCCCGGCUAACUACGUGCCAGCAGCCGCGGUAAUACGUAGGGGGCAAGCGUUAUCCGGAAUUAUUGGGCGUAAAGAGUACGUAGGUGGUCUUUUAAGCGCAGGGUUUAAGGCAAUGGCUUAACCAUUGUUCGCCCUGUGAACUGGAAGACUUGAGUGUAGGAGAGGAAAGUGGAAUUCCUAGUGUAGCGGUGAAAUGCGUAGAUAUUAGGAGGAACAUCAGUGGCGAAGGCGACUUUCUGGACUAUUACUGACACUGAGGUACGAAAGCGUGGGGAGCAAACAGGAUUAGAUACCCUGGUAGUCCACGCCGUAAACAUAAAGCACUAGGUGUCGGGGUCGCAAGAUUUCGGUGCCGUAGUUAACGCAUUAA